AUCAUGGCUCAGAACGAACGCUGGCGGCAGGCCUAACACAUGCAAGUCGAGCGCACCUUCGGGUGAGCGGCGGACGGGUUAGUAACGCGUGGGAACAUACCCUUCUCUAAGGAAUAGCCACUGGAAACGGUGAGUAAUACCUUAUACGCCCUUCGGGGGAAAGAUUUAUCGGAGAAGGAUUGGCCCGCGUUAGAUUAGAUAGUUGGUGGGGUAAUGGCCUACCAAGUCUACGAUCUAUAGCUGGUUUUAGAGGAUGAUCAGCAACACUGGGACUGAGACACGGCCCAGACUCCUACGGGAGGCAGCAGUGGGGAAUCUUAGACAAUGGGCGCAAGCCUGAUCUAGCCAUGCCGCGUGAGUGAUGAAGGCCUUAGGGUCGUAAAGCUCUUUCGCCAGGGAUGAUAAUGACAGUACCUGGUAAAGAAACCCCGGCUAACUCCGUGCCAGCAGCCGCGGUAAUACGGAGGGGGUUAG
This 474-nucleotide ribosomal RNA is filed under the name uncultured bacterium. RNAcentral's name for it is "bacterial SSU rRNA". It matches the Rfam family "Bacterial small subunit ribosomal RNA", at positions 16 to 538 of the family's 1533-position model. The record is from RNAcentral.